GCCUCACUCCUUCCUGUGUCCGGCCUUCACGGCGACGCAACGUCCCGCCUCACGUGACCGGCGACCAGGUCCCUCCCCCCCAAUGACGGGCAGCGCCAAUGGCCAAUGGGACCGCGUCACAGAGGACCAGCCUCUCACUCAUGGCUAAUGCUGUUUAUCGACUUCAGCUCAGCAUUCAACACCAUCAUCCCCUUCAAACUGAUCACCAAACUCAACAACCUGGACAUCAACCCCUCCCUCUGAAACUGGAUAUUGGACUAUCUAACCAACAGACCUCACCUCCUCAACCCUCACCCUGAACACAGCGUUCCACAGAGCUGUGUGCUGAGCCCUCUUCUCUACUCCCUCCUCACCUACGACUGCACACCUGUACAUGGUUCCAACACCAUUCUCAAGUUUGCAGAUGACACAACUGUGAUUGGCCUCAUCAGCGACAACGAUGAGUCGGCCUAUAGGGAGGAGGUCCAGCUCCUGGCAGCAUGGUGCACCGACAACAACCUGGCUCUUAACACCAAGAAGACCAAGGAGCUCAUUGUGGACUACAGAAAGACUAAUGGUGGCACACACACCCCCAUCCAUAUCAACGGGACGGAGGUGGAACGUGUUUCCAGCUUCAAGUUUCUGGGUGUCCACAUCUCUGAAGACCUCUCUUAGACCCACAAUACCUCAACUCUGAUCAAGAAGGCUCACCAGCGUCUCUUCUUCCUGAGGAGACUAAAGCAGGUCUAUGUGUCUCCUCAGAUUCUGGUGAACUUCUACCGCUGCACCAUCGAGAGCAUCCUUACUAACUGUGUCACAGUAUGGUCUGGCAACUGCUCUGUCUCUGACUGGAAAGCACUGCAGAGGGUGGUGAAAACUGCCCGACGCAUCACUGGUUUCUCACUUACCUCCAUUAAGGCUGGCCAGAGCAAGCGAUGUCUGCGAAGGGAGCGCAGCAUCAUCAAGGACUGCUCUCACCCCAACCACAGACUGUUUACCCUGCUCCCAUCUGGGAGGCACUACAGGUCUCUCCAUUCCCGGACCAGCAUAGUCUAGUGUUCAAAUAUAUUCAGGAUCAGUUCCUGUGGAUUGGAGGAUAGCUAAUGUUAUCCCACUUUUCAAGGAAGGAGCGAGAGAGAAAACGGAGAAUUACAGACCAGUUAGCCUGAGUUCAGGUGUGGGAAAGAUGCUGGAGUCAAUUAUUAAAGAGGUAAUAAUGGGGCGUUGGAUUAGUCCAAAUCGACAUGGAUUUAUGAAAGGGAAAUCAUGCUUAACUAAUCUUCUGGAAUUUUUUGAGGAUAUGACAAGUAAAAUGAAUGAAGGGGAGCCAGUGGAUGUAGUGUAUCGAGACUUUCAGAAAGGCUUUGAUAAGAUCCCGCACGGGAGACUGGUGACUAAAAUUAGAGCACAUAGUAUUCGGGGUAUGGUGUUGACAUGGAUAGAAAAUUGGUUGACAGACAAGAAGCAAAGAGUAGGAGUGAGCGAGUUAUUUUCAGAAUGGCAGGCAGUGGCGAGUGGAGUGUCGCAAGGCUCGGUGUUGGGGCCGCAACUGUUUACCAUGUAUAUUAAUGAUUUGGAAGAGGGAAUAAGGAGCAACUCCCUAUAACUGUCUCUGUCCCCUCUCUCUCUGCCCUCACUCUUUACCCCCACCCUCCAUCUCAUAGAUGACCCUGCGAGUUGGGGGCUAUGCGUCAGUGGACAGGGUGGUUAUGGGGUAAAAGGAGCAAAUUAAUAAUAUUAAUAUAAUAUCAAGGAGGUAGUUAGUGUGUGUGUGUGGGGAGUUGUUAGUGUGUGUAGGGGGGUGGUUAGUCUGUGUGUGAGAUGCCGCAUGCCGCCGCCCCUAAACACCCCCCCCCCACGCAACCGCGCAUUGAGGGGAAGGGACCCAAUGGGUCCCCCUUGGUCUCCUAUCAUAUCUAUAUAAUUAAAAGUCUAAACUUGACCACUUCCUGUUUGCGCUAUAUAUUGAUUUUAGAAAAAACGCUACCAGUUACGGCUAUGAUUUUUGGCCAUCUUACUCAGAGUACCCCACCGCUCAUCAGGUGCAGAGGAUUUUUCCCAUCGAUGAAAAAUAGAAGUUCGUAGUAAACAAAUGUUGAGAUUCUCUCUCCUGCCAAUCACUGUCAAGAAGGCCACGCCCCUUCAGGGGCGGGUGCAGGAGCUAUAAAACCCAGAAGUCCGGACGUAGCUCUGUUGCUGCAGGAUGGUGAGCGAGAGAUCAUGACUCUCAGUCUGAGCUGGAAAUCUACAGAACACUUAGUGUCUACUGACCUCAAAGAGGCAUCAAGAGGCAGUGAGCAGCAGAACACAACAAGGGACACAACAAGAACUUAAUCAAUCUCAUCAUUUACAUUUAAAUUGUUGUUGUAUUUUAAGAGUUAUUCACAUUUUAAACUUUAUUAAAUCCUU
Long non-coding RNA from Leucoraja erinaceus (little skate), 2388 nucleotides. RefSeq lists it as uncharacterized. The record is from RefSeq and is a predicted model, not a curated record. Lineage: Eukaryota; Metazoa; Chordata; Chondrichthyes; Rajiformes; Rajidae. The transcript has 3 exons.